GCAGGAAUGGCUUAGAGGAUGGAGAGAAAGCUUGCAAAAAUGGAAGGAGAACAAGAAAUAAAGGAGAUAACCAGCGUGGAUUGACGCGCACGCAUGGCUCAUGGGUGCGCGUAAUUUGGAGAUUUUCACAGCGACGCAUGUGCAUACCUGACGUGUACGCGUAGAUUGGAUUUCUGCA
Arachis ipaensis is the source of this 178-nucleotide non-coding RNA. Lineage: Eukaryota; Viridiplantae; Streptophyta; Magnoliopsida; Fabales; Fabaceae. The record is from RefSeq and is a predicted model, not a curated record.